GCACAACGCGAAGAACCUUACCCAGGUUUGACAUCCCACUAAGGAUCCCGAAAGGGAACUGUGUCUUCGGACCGUGGUGACAGGUGUUGCAUGGCCGUCGUCAGCUCGUGUCGUGAGAUGUUUGGUUAAGUCCAUCAACGAGCGCAACCCUUAUGAGUAGUUGUAUUUCUCUACUCAGACUGCCCUGGCAACAGGGAGGAAGGAGGGGAUGAUGUCAGGUCAGUAUUACCCUUACACCUGGGGCUACAAACACGCUACAAUGGCCGGUACAAAGGGCAGCCAACCCGCGAGGGGGAGCAAAUCCCAUCAAAGCCGGUCUCAGUUCGGAUUGCAGGCUGAAACUCGCCUGCAUGAAGCUGGAAUCGCUAGUAAUGGUAGGUCAGCACACUACCGUGAAUACGUUCCCGGGUCUUGUACACACCG
RNAcentral lists this ribosomal RNA (423 nucleotides) under uncultured bacterium. RNAcentral's name for it is "bacterial SSU rRNA". It matches the Rfam family "Bacterial small subunit ribosomal RNA", at positions 954 to 1392 of the family's 1533-position model. The record is from RNAcentral.